This 1281-nucleotide ribosomal RNA is filed under the name Coelioxys fenestratus. Its description in RNAcentral is "Coelioxys fenestrata 16S ribosomal RNA". The stretch from base 1039 to 1197 matches the Rfam family "Archaeal large subunit ribosomal RNA", at positions 2544 to 2703 of the family's 2987-position model. Lineage: Eukaryota; Metazoa; Arthropoda; Insecta; Hymenoptera; Megachilidae. The record is from RNAcentral.
AUUGAAAAUAAUAAAUAAUUUUUUAGUUAUUAAUUUAUUUUAAAAAAAGUUAUUUUAAAUGUGUUAGUUAUAGUAAAAGUUUAGAAUUAAUAUAUAUAUUUAUAAAUGUAGUAAUGUUAAUGAAAUAAUUUAGAUUUAAAAAAGUAUAAUUUUUUAGUACCUUUUGUAUCAGGGUUAAUUAAAAUAAAUUUAAUAACUUUUAAAUGUCUCGAAAAUAAAAGAGCUAAAUUUUAUAAAAUUUUUUAUGUGUAAAUAUAAUUAUUAAUAUAAAUUUAGAGAUUAAAUGUUAGUCAAUUUUAUUAAUAUCUAGUUUUUUUUGAAAUAAAUUAAAUUUAUAAAUUUAAAUUAAAUUAAUAUUAUUUAAAAAAUAUUAAUUUUAUAAAUUUAAAAAAUUUAUGGGAUAACCUGUAAAUUUAUAAUUAAUAGCUUAUAAAUUUUAUUAAAGAAAUAUUUUUAAAAUUGAAGAUUUUUUGAAAAAUUUAAUAAUUUAUUUGAUUAAAAAAAAUUUAAAAUAAAUAAUUUUAAUAAAAAAAAAAUUAUUAUAAUUUUUUUAAUAAUGGUAUAAUGAUUAAAUAAGUAAUAUAAAUUGUUUAAAUGAAUAUAUAUAUAUUAAGUAAUUAUAUUUAAGGAACUAGGCAAAUUUUGUAUUCACCUGUUUAACAAAAACAUGUCUUUUUGAAAAUAAUUUUAAGUCAGUUCUGCCCAAUGAAUUUUUAGUUUUAAUGGCUGCAGUAUUUUAACUGUACAAAGGUAGCAUAAUCAAUUGUCUUUUUAUUGAAGGCUGGAAUGAAAGAAUUAAUGAAAUAUAAACUGUCUCGGGUAUAUUUAAUAAAAUUAAAUUUUAAGUUAAAAUGCUUAAAUAAUUUUUAGGGACGAUAAGACCCUGUAGAAUUUUAUAUAUUUAAAAAUUAAAAUAAUUUUUAAAUAUAUUUGAUUGGGAGGAUAAUUAAAUUUAAUAAACUUUAAUUAAAAUUUAACAAUAAUAAUUGAAUUAAGAUAUGAGGUAUAAUUAGUUGUAAAAGAAAAAAUUACCUUAGGGAUAACAGCGUGAUAUUUUUGGAUAGAUCAAAUUGAUAAAAAUGAUUGCGACCUCGAUGUUGAAUUAAGAUAAAUUUUAAAUGCAGGAGUUUAAUAAUUAAGUCUGUUCGACUUUUAAAAUCUUACAUGAUUUGAGUUCAGAUCGACGUGAGUCAGAUUGGAUUCUAUCUUAAAUUUAAUUUAAUAAUUUUGUACGAAAGGACUAAUUAUUAUAAAAUUUUUAUAAAUAAAAUAUAAUAAAUA